Molecule: ribosomal RNA, 556 nt
Filed under: uncultured bacterium
Lineage: Bacteria
Description: partial 16S ribosomal RNA
Rfam family: Bacterial small subunit ribosomal RNA
Source: RNAcentral
UGGGGAAUUUUGGACAAUGGGCGAAAGCCUGAUCCAGCAAUGCCGCGUGUGUGAAGAAGGCCUUCGGGUUGUAAAGCACUUUUGUCCGGAAAGAAAUCCUUGGCUCUAAUACAGUCGGGGGAUGACGGUACCGGAAGAAUAAGCACCGGCUAACUACGUGCCAGCAGCCGCGGUAAUACGUAGGGUGCAAGCGUUAAUCGGAAUUACUGGGCGUAAAGCGUGCGCAGGCGGUUUGCUAAGACCGAUGUGAAAUCCCCGGGCUCAACCUGGGAACUGCAUUGGUGACUGGCAGGCUAGAGUAUGGCAGAGGGGGGUAGAAUUCCACGUGUAGCAGUGAAAUGCGUAGAGAUGUGGAGGAAUACCGAUGGCGAAGGCAGCCCCCUGGGCCAAUACUGACGCUCAUGCACGAAAGCGUGGGGAGCAAACAGGAUUAGAUACCCUGGUAGUCCACGCCCUAAACGAUGUCAACUAGUUGUUGGGGACUUCAUUUUCCUUAGUAACGUAGCUAACGCGUGAAGUUGACCGCCUGGGGAGUACGGUCGCAAGAUUAAAACUU